CGGUCGCAAGAUUAAAACUCAAAGAAUUGACGGGGGGCCCGCACAAGCGGUGGAUUAUGUGGAUUAAUUCGAUGCAACGCGAAAAACCUUACCUAGCCUUGACAUGUAGCGAACUUAGCAGAGAUGCUUUGGUGCCCGAAAGGGAGCGUUAACACAGGUGCUGCAUGGCUGUCGUCAGCUCGUGUCGUGAGAUGUUGGGUUAAGUCCCGCAACGAGCGCAACCCUUGCCAUUAAUUGCCAUCAUUUAGUUGGGCACUUUAAUGGGACUGCCGGUGACAAACCGGAGGAAGGUGGGGAUGACGUCAAGUCCUCAUGGCCCUUAUGGCUAGGGCUUCACACGUAAUACAAUGGUCGGUACAGAGGGUAGCCAACCCGCGAGGGGGAGCCAAUCCCAGAAAGCCGAUCGUAGUCCGGAUUGCAGUCUGCAACUCGACUGCAUGAAGUCGGAAUCGCUAGUAAUCGCGGAUCAGCAUGUCGCGGUGAAUACGUUCCCGGGCCUUGUACACACCGCCCGUCACACCAUGGGAGUGGGUUUCACCAGAAGUAGUUAGUCUAACCGUAAGGGGGACGAUUACCACGGUGGGAUUCAUGACUGGGGUG
Molecule: ribosomal RNA, 600 nt
Filed under: uncultured bacterium
Lineage: Bacteria
Description: bacterial SSU rRNA
Rfam family: Bacterial small subunit ribosomal RNA
Source: RNAcentral